UGUUUUCUACUGACACAGUUACUGAAAUAACCCGAAAAAGAAAGAACAAUGCAAAUAUACAGUCAAGCACACUCACUCACUCCAAGAGUUACACUGCCAAAACUGAAGAUGAGUUCCCAAGGUUCCUGCUCCACUGAAUUUAGAAGUAUGCAGCUCAAUCUCAUGAGCUUCCUGUUUUGUUAUGACUUACAACCUUGUUCCUCCCUAAACAUCCAUCACGGCAGCUG
Molecule: non-coding RNA, 227 nt
Organism: Pelodiscus sinensis (Chinese soft-shelled turtle)
Lineage: Eukaryota; Metazoa; Chordata; Testudines; Trionychidae
Source: RefSeq, a predicted model, not a curated record